CGUGCUUAAUACAUGCAAGUCAACUUGACUUUAGAUAGCAAUAUCGAAAGUAGGGUGGCGCACGGGUGCGUAACGCGUAGGUAAUCUGCCCUGAGGUCUGACAAUAACCCGUCGAAAGGCGGGCUAACAUCAGAUGAUAUAUAAUCACGACAUCGUGGAAAUAUCAAAUCUUCGGAGCCUUGGGAUGAGCCUGCGUCUGAUUAGGUAGUUGGCGGAGUAAUAGCCCACCAAGCCUACGAUCAGUAGCUGGUCUGAGAGGAUGAUCAGCCACACUGGAACUGAGACACGGUCCAGACUCCUACGGGAGGCAGCAGUAAGGAAUAUUGCUCAAGUAGGGGGGAAACCCUGAAGCAGCAACGCCGCGUGAAGGAUGAAAUUACUUUUGUAUAGUAAACUUCUGUAAGAUGGGAAAAAUAUUCUCCUCGGGAGAAUUGAUUGUACCAUCAGAGUAAGCCCCGGCUAACUACGUG
This 470-nucleotide ribosomal RNA is filed under the name uncultured bacterium. RNAcentral describes it as "bacterial SSU rRNA". It matches the Rfam family "Bacterial small subunit ribosomal RNA", at positions 43 to 507 of the family's 1533-position model. The record is from RNAcentral.